AGAGUUUGAUCCUGGCUCAGGACGAACGCUGGCGGCGUGCUUAAUACAUGCAAGUUGAGCGGAGCCAUUGAUGAAGCUUGCGAUUCAAUGGUCGAGCGGCGGACGGGUGAGUAACGCGUGGGCAACCUGCCCUCUAGUCUGGGAUAACAGUUCGAAAGGGCUGCUAACACCGGAUAAGCUCACGGAGAGGCAUCUUUCAGUGAGAAAAGUUUACGCUAGAGGAUGGGCCCGCGUCCCAUUAGCUAGUUGGUGAGGUAACGGCUCACCAAGGCGCCGAUGGGUAGCCGACCUGAGAGGGUGACCGGCCACACUGGGACUGAGACACGGCCCAGACUCCUACGGGAGGCAGC
RNAcentral lists this ribosomal RNA (350 nucleotides) under uncultured bacterium. Its description in RNAcentral is "bacterial SSU rRNA". It matches the Rfam family "Bacterial small subunit ribosomal RNA", at positions 8 to 352 of the family's 1533-position model. The record is from RNAcentral.